CAGCUGCAGAGAAACUGGCCCCCCUUGUUGUUAUUGAUGGGCUUUGGUCUGCUAGAAAGUAAGAAGAUACAGGAUGAAACUCAUCAGUUCUUCCAGGAAAAUGACUUAGAAUUGGAUAAAUAAAAAUAUGACAAUGACCAUAAUAAAAAGGGCAGUACGACAAUACAUGACCCACAGUCUCCACUAUGAAACUGGAUUGUUUCUGCAGUUGUGUUUUGGACCUUAGUCAAGCCCAAAAUGGAGGACUUUUGGGAACUCCUCCUGGACACAAGGUGGAAAUGUAGGACACUUCCUGGGAAAAGAGGACUCUCAUAGGGGAAAGGAGUACAAGGCACCGCAAAAACAACAAUGAGGUGAAAAACACUAAGCUCCAAGAGCCCACUUGGCCAAAAGGGAGGAAUGGCCUUUGCAUACAUGGAUAUCCCAUCUUAAGCGACAAUAACAUCUCAACAAGAAAAAUCUUUGGCAGGGACAAUAAUAUGUGAUCCAUUCAAGAGAGUGGGCCAAAUGGUAGAAAGGAGGAGGAAAAGCUGAUGGGAGAGGAUGGAUUCAUGUUGGAAGAUGAGAAGAUCCCGAAAGAACCAUCCAAGAGGCUCCAGAGGGAGCCAUCCAUGAAGAGUCUGACCCCCAAAUGUCUCACUGCUUCCCAAAUGCAGCUCUAUAAGGUUGAGCAGGUUUGCCUGUAAAGAAUGGAUAGAUGGAUAAAAACGCAUUUCCUCCAAACUCUCUUCCUUCUUACUGCCACUGUGACCCAUGGCUCCUUUCCUUUGGACUCACGUCUUCCAAACCAGCUACCAAGUCUGGUUUGCUUGCUGGUCUGUAUAACUUAAGAGAUGACUCCAGUCAAGUGAAGCUGCAUGAAACUCUCCUUAUGGCCAGAAGAUACGAAUGGCUGAAGCUGUGCACUUUCAGAUGCUCGAGUUGGGCUGGCUUCAUCACCAGGGAAGAAACUUUGCUCCCAGAAAUGUGAGUAUUCUCAGUCCUCCAGGCGAGUAUUCUUCACUUCACUUCUGCUCCCAGGAUUCAUCCUCUAAUUUUUGUGGAUACUGACACCUGUGCAUUGAUGCUUCUUUUCCUCCAUCUUGCAGACGGGUGAUAACAAAAGGACUGAAGUAUACAAGAAGGACCUAGUAGACAAUAAAGUUGGGUAUAUCUGAGCACAGCAUCCCAUCACUCACAAGGUGAAGAAAAGGUUUUGGUUCUAAAAUUUCUGGAAGCCAUUUGCAACCUCACCCUUCACUUUUAAAGUACUAUAAACACUGCAUAAUAAAUUGUUUUCAUUGUGGUAUAUCAGGAUCCUGUGGGUGACUGAAGAGAGGUCAUCAAGAAAGACCUUGAAUUUGUGUAAACAUCUCAACAAAAAUGAACUUAAUUGAAACUAUCACUAAAUGAUGUCUAGCACAGCAUCCCAUCACUCAUUACAAGUAUAUCAGGCUCCUGCAGGUGAAUGAAGAGAGGCCAUAGAGAAAACACAUGAAUUCAUGAAAACAUCUCAACAGAGGUCAACUUCAAAGGAAAGUAUCAGAAGCAUCCAGUCAGAUCUUCAGAAGAAUGCAGAGGAUGAAGACAUGCCUAAGCAAAGUUGCAGCUGAGGAAGGAAGACUCAGAUUAAAUAGUCAGCCAGGAAAAGAAACCACAUCCUCUUCCUCAAACCAGGUCUCCUAAGUUUCCAUCUGGAAUGAGGACCACAUCUGUAGCCCAUUUUUUGUGCUGCUGGAGGAAUGAUGGAAGGAGCUCUGGUCGAGUCUGAGCCAUCCCUGAGCACCAGGGAAGCCUUGGCAGGAUCUCUUCCUCUCAGCCCUUCUCCAUGCAAUCGCCUACAAACAGGUAAGGUUCCAGAGCUCUGCUCCAUCCAAUGCGACAAAGUAUCUGAAGAGAAUGUCCAUUAAAACACAGGUGAAUAUUCCUUCCCCUGACCUGAAGCCCCUUUUGUUGAAUCAAUCUCUUGCAAUAGUCAUGCAUGAUCUGUCAGUAUGCCACAUCUAGCAAACAGGAAAGAUGGCAAGAUGAUGGCAGGGUCAAGCAGACAACAUUGCAUUUUCCAAAACACUGCAAGAAGUGACUUUCUACAAACCCAAGCCAUUUGGUGGUGGUGGUGGUUCAGUUUUUAGGAGUUUGCUUCUUUCCUGUAUUAAGAGGACAUGGAAAGGUAUUCUAGGGCACAAAAUAGUUUUAUUGUUGCUGAUAUGUUGAGGAUGGACCUCCACAAACCUAUGGGGAAAUGACUAGAAAAUUUUUGCUAGAGAAAAUGCAUCAGAAUGACCUAAGAACAGAAACUAUCAGCCUAGUCUUGACUGGUCUGACUGCCAGUAAAAGCACAAUUCCAACUUUUCUCCAAACUCUCUUCUUACUUAAUGCCAUUGUGACAUCCACACUACAUCUCCUUUCAUUGGAAUCACUUCUUCCAAACCAGCUCCAAAGCAUGGUUUGCUUGCUGGUCUGCAUAACUUAAGAGUGAAUCAAGUGAAACUUCAUGAAAACCUCCUUAUGGCCGGUAGAUAUAAACAGCUAAAGCUAUGUUCCUUCAAAUGCAGCAGUUGGGUUGGCUUCAUUACCAGGGGGGGAAUCUUUGCUCCCAGAAACAUGGCCAUGGCUAUCCAGGUAGACUUAGUCCUCCAGGUGAGUAUUCUCCACUUCACUUCUGGUCCCAGAGCCCUUCCUCCAUUUUUUGUGCAAACUGACAGCUGUGCAUAGAUCCUCCGCACUCCUCUCCUCCAUCUUGUAUACUUGGAUGACAACAGAAGGACUGAAGCUCCAGUAUACAAGAAAGCUGAGAAUAUGUAGGCGCAGCAUCCCAUCAUGCACAAAAAGGUGAAGCAAAAGGUUUGAUCCUAAAAUUUCUGGAAGCCAUUUUCAAUCUCAUCCUUUUCUUUUCAGGCACUAUAAAUACUGUGUAAUAAAUUGUUUUCAUUGCUGCAUAUCAGGUUCCUGCAAAUAAAUGAGGAGGGGUAAUUGAGAAAGCCCGUUAAUCCAUACAAACAUUUCAGCAGAUGUUAACUUCAAAGAAACUAUUAUAAGGCAAGUGAGGUAGAAGGAUGAAACCUGUGAAUGCAGAACGUUUAAGAAGGAUGGAGAACAUCUCAACAGAAUUUAACUUCAAGGAAACUGUCACAAGGUAAGUGAUGUCCAGAAAUGAACCCUAAGGAUGCAGAAAAGGGCUUAUUCUGUGAGCCUUAAAGUAAGAAGGAAUGUUUGGCCUGAGCAAGAGUUGGCAGGUUGGUGGUCUGUGGUCCUUGCUGACAUGCCCAGGGUAGCACUGACCGCCACUUUUGGGGUUGGGAAGGAAUUUUCCUCCUGAGCAGAUUGGCCAGAGAUCCUGGAGGUUUUUCGCCUUUCUCCAGGCAUCCAGCAGCAUCCACCUGUUAGGAUGUUUGAAAAAUCAAUGUAUUUUGUUACUGUUGUUAACUGCCUUCAAGUCGAUAUUGACUCACGGUAGCCCCAUAGAUGAAACAACUCCAAGCCCCUCCAUCUUCAACCAUUCUGCAUACUUUUUAGGCUUUCGGCUAGCUUCCUUAACUGAGUCUAUCCAUCUGGUAUCUGGUCCACCUCUUUUUCUCCUACCCUCUAUCGUUCCAAGCAUUAUUAUCUUCUCUAGUGAGUCGUGCCUUUCCAUAAUGUGACCAAGAUACGACAGUCUUAGUUUGCCCCUCCUGGCUUCUAGGGAAGAGUUCAGACUUGAUUUGUUCCCUUAUCCAUGCCUUCCUGACCAUACAUGGUAUCCUCCGCACUCCUCUCCAGAACGACAUCUCAAAUGAGCUGAUUUUCUUUCUAUCAGCUCUCUUCACUGUCCAACUCUCACAUCCAUAGAUGGUGAUGGGAAAUACAAUGGUAUGGAUGAUGCUUACUAGUGUUCAGUGUUAUAGCUUUGCAUUUUAUGUUGUCUAGUUCUUUCAUAGCUGCCCCUCCCAGUCCUAAUCAUCUUCUGAUUCCUUGACUGCAAUCUCCAAUCUGAUUGUUGAUGGAUCCAAGCUAUGAGAAGUCUUUGCCUUUUUCCAUGUCAUCAUUUUCUAGACUGAAUUUAUGUAAAACCUCCAUGACCAUUACUGUUGUAAAAACCUGCCAAGCUGAACUCAGCCGAGAACGACAAGUCUCUGAAAGAAAAUUAAUAAAAGAUAUACAUAGGGAAUUUUUGAAGCCCAUUUUCAAAAGAAGAAAUGCUACAAGGUCUUCAGAGAUCCAAAUAAGAAAACUCUUACCAUUUGGAAAUGGGGUGUAGCAAGAUGUCGAAUAUUAUUCACUGCAAAAUGAUACUCCAGUAAAAAUUAGCUGAUGCAUUUUUUAAAAACCCUGCUUGCUAAAAUGUAAUUAGAUAACAGCAUUGUUCUCUAAAUUUAAAAUAAAAUUUAGAAGAAACAUCAUGCUGUCAAGACAGGAUGGCUUUUCCUUGAUGAAGAUGGAGCCUAGAGGAUGCCAGCAUGUCUUCUACAUGGAGAGAUGGAAAGAGGGAGCCUCCCCAUUUUCUUGCACAAGGAAGGCCCUUGUCGACAUGCCCAGGGUAGCACUGGCCGCCACUUUUGGGGUCGGGAAGGAAUUUUCCUCCAGGGCAGAUUGGCCAGGGAUCCUGGAGGUUUUUCGCCUUCCUCUGGGCAUCCGGCAGGGGUCACCUGUUAGGCUGUUUGAGAGAUUCAUAAGAAUUAAAUGAAGCUUAUAACUUACUUGCCAAACUGAAGAUGGCAAAUAGACAUAACAACCAUAAUGCAAAAUGAAUAAAAAUCAGAACCUUGGAAAUA
This is a long non-coding RNA of Sceloporus undulatus (fence lizard), 4730 nucleotides long. RefSeq lists it as uncharacterized. The record is from RefSeq and is a predicted model, not a curated record. The transcript has 5 exons. Lineage: Eukaryota; Metazoa; Chordata; Lepidosauria; Squamata; Phrynosomatidae.